RNAcentral lists this ribosomal RNA (1415 nucleotides) under endosymbiont of Sphenophorus levis. Its description in RNAcentral is "partial 16S ribosomal RNA". It matches the Rfam family "Bacterial small subunit ribosomal RNA". Lineage: Bacteria; Pseudomonadati; Pseudomonadota; Gammaproteobacteria. The record is from RNAcentral.
AGUCGAACGGUAGCACAGAGAGCUUGCUCUCGGGUGACGAGUGGCGGACGGGUGAGUAAUGUCUGGGAAACUGCCUGAUGGAGGGGGAUAACUACUGGAAACGGUAGCUAAUACCGCAUAACGUCGCAAGACCAAAGUGGGGGACCUUCGGGCCUCAUGCCAUCAGAUGUGCCCAGAUGGGAUUAGCUAGUAGGUGGGGUAACGGCUCACCUAGGCGACGAUCCCUAGCUGGUCUGAGAGGAUGACCAGCCACACUGGAACUGAGACACGGUCCAGACUCCUACGGGAGGCAGCAGUGGGGAAUAUUGCACAAUGGGCGCAAGCCUGAUGCAGCCAUGCCGCGUGUAUGAAGAAGGCCUUCGGGUUGUAAAGUACUUUCAGCGAGGAGGAAGGCAUUAAGGUUAAUAACCUUGGUGAUUGACGUUACUCGCAGAAGAAGCACCGGCUAACUCCGUGCCAGCAGCCGCGGUAAUACGGAGGGUGCAAGCGUUAAUCGGAAUUACUGGGCGUAAAGCGCACGCAGGCGGUCUGUCAAGUCGGAUGUGAAAUCCCCGGGCUCAACCUGGGAACUGCAUUCGAAACUGGCAGGCUAGAGUCUUGUAGAGGGGGGUAGAAUUCCAAGUGUAGCGGUGAAAUGCGUAGAUAUUUGGAGGAAUACCAGAGGCGAAGGCGACUCCCUGGGUAAUAACUGACACUGAGGUACGAAAGCUUGGGGAGCAAACAGGAUUAGAUACCCUGGUAGUCCAUGCUGUAAACGAUGUCAAUUUGAAGAUUGUAAUAUUAUUAUUUUUUAUAAUUUUCGUAGCUAACGCAUUAAAUUGACCGCCUGGGGAUUACGACCGCAAGGUUAAAACUCAAAUGAAUUGACGGGGACCCGCACAAGCGGUGGAGCAUGUGGUUUAAUUCGAUACAACGCGAAAAACCUUACCUACUCUUGACAUCUAUAAGUAAUAAAGCAGAAAUGUUUUAGUAUCUGUUUGACAGAAUCUUUAAGACAGGUGCUGCAUGGCUGUCGUCAGCUCGUGUUGUGAAAUGUUGGGUUAAGUCCCUUAACGAGCGCAACCCUUAUUCUUUGUUACCAGCGUAAAGUCGGGGACUCUUAGAAAACUGCCAAUAUAAAUUGGAGGAAGGUGAGGACGACGUCAAGUCAUCAUGGCCUUUAUGAGUAGGGCUACAUACGUGCUACAAUGGUGUAUACAAAAAGAAGCAAAUUUGUAAAAACGAGCAAAUCUAUAAAAUACAUCACAGUCCGGAUUGAAGUCUGCAACUCGACUUCAUGAAGUAGGAAUCGCUAGUAAUCGUGAAUCAGAAUGUCACGGUGAAUACGUUCUCGGGUCUUGUACACACCGCCCGUCACACCAUGGAAGUGAAUUGCGAAAGAAGAAGAUAUACUUAAUCAGAAAUGAAGGUUUUUU